Sipha flava (yellow sugarcane aphid) is the source of this 570-nucleotide long non-coding RNA. RefSeq lists it as uncharacterized. Lineage: Eukaryota; Metazoa; Arthropoda; Insecta; Hemiptera; Aphididae. The transcript has 3 exons. The record is from RefSeq and is a predicted model, not a curated record.
ACCGUUGCUCGUCGCAAACGACAAAAUCUGGAAUACUGUUACGUUCUUGUUAUCCUCGAAUCACGUAAUUUUCCCGUAUCGUUUUAUUUAUUUUAUUUUUUUUUAAUUUUUUUUUUUACGUACUUAUUCCAAUGAUUCGGAUGGUUAUUCAAAGCGCAAUAUUCGAAAGUCUAAGGUGUAUUCUCCGUUUAGUUCGCAACAAAGUUGUUCAGUUUUUUUUUUUUCUGCAGAUGAUGCAAACCGGUGACCGAGUUGAAUUCUCCAUGUUUCGUUACAGCAUGCCACGUCGCCGGGAACAGGAUUCAUUGGUAAAACAUAUAACAUACUGCGAGAUUUAACAGCAGAAAACGAUGAACAUGUGUACCGCGUAUUGCAAUGUCACGGUUAAUCGUCAUGAGGGGUUGUUCAACGAAGAAGAAAAUGCUUAUAUUUAUGAUACUGAAGUGUGAAAGCAUCGAAGUUUCAUAGAAAUGUCAGUAAAACAUUAGUAACGGCUUACUAUGAUUUCAUAUUUUUUUUGUUAAAUAUUUUUUUAAUUUUGUCUUUCAUUUAUCUUUUUUGUUUAAAUUA